GCCGGCCUAGCUCAGUUGGUAGAGCAUCUCAUUCGUAAUGAGGGGGUCGCAGGUUCAAGUCCUGUGGCCGGCACCA
Molecule: transfer RNA, 76 nt
Filed under: Rickettsiales bacterium
Lineage: Bacteria; Pseudomonadati; Pseudomonadota; Alphaproteobacteria; Rickettsiales
Description: tRNA-Thr
Rfam family: tRNA
About the family: Transfer RNA (tRNA) molecules are approximately 80 nucleotides in length. Their secondary structure includes four short double-helical elements and three loops (D, anti-codon, and T loops).
Source: RNAcentral